GGAAAGCCUCUUGUUCUUGAGGUGGUGAGAAAAGCAGAGCAACAGUUAGCGAACGACCUGUAAGUUAGAUACUCAUUAGUAAUAUAGAAAGACUUCGAUUGUUUCAGGAAAAACAAAUUGACGUUCUUAAAAUAUUUAAUUUUACAUUUUUUCAUAAAGUACUAGGGUCGCCCCGCCCUACGGGCGGGAUAUACUAUACUUCUACGUAGAUAUUGUAAACCUUUAUCAAUGUUGCUAUUAUGAAAAUAGUUUUCUAACCCUCAGAUGUAGUGUGCCUUAAUGUCCCUUGCUAAAUAUUUUAAAAUUAAAUCGUAGUAUUUGUGGAACGAUGUUAAAAAAGAUAGUGAAAAAAUUUUAAUUGAAAUUCAUGUAAAUUUGUUAGUUUGGCACUGCCUUAUUGAUCUUUUUUAUUUUUUUAUUAUGUUUUUUUUUAAGUUUUAUUGACAUGACUCGAACAAUUUGUUUGUUCUUUAAUUUCUUCUACCCCAAUCUUUUUUGUUAACUAUCUCCAUGUUUCUUGUGUUUCUGAUUCAUCAGAUGAUUAAUUAGGCUUACGACAUGCUCUAUUUUUACAAACUUUUAGAAGUUCCACACUUCGUAUGUAUAUAAUUUAAAAUAAUAUUUUUCGAUAACAACACAAUAUAUAUAUAUAUAUAUAAAUCUUAAAAAUAAAACAUAUUUUAAAAAUAAGAUAAUUUAUUAUAUAUAUUGUGUUGUUAUCGAGAAAUAAUAUUUUAAAAAUUAAAAUGUAAAAAACUUUGAUUAAAAUUAAUUGAGUAAAAACAUUUGAAUCAGGAUAUUUUAUAAAAUAUUUUUAACAUAUGAGUGUUUAAAAUUUUAUACAAUAAUAAAAAUCUAAAUUGACGACUAAAAAAAAAAUCUAAAUUAAUUGAAUUUUUCCAUAUAUUAUCAUACAGGCUUUUGAAUUAAUAAAUUAUAAAUUAAUAAGCAUUCGUAAAAAAAUUAUAUUAAAAAAUUAUGCUCGCAUGUGUAGGCAAAAUACCUAUUAUAAUUUGUUUGUUAGUAGCAUAUGACACAUCUGUGUGAUUUUAUUUUAUUUAAACCCAAUUCUAUACUUUUUUAUUUAAUCAAAUUCAAAUGUAAUCUAAAUAAGUAGUUAAUUACAAACACAAUUCGAUAGGAAACAAAUUUCUGGGAAUAAAAUUGUUGAUUAGCAUUAAUUGGGUAUAUUGUAAGUCUACGUUAGGCAUAAAAAAGGAGAAUUCAAAAUCAAAAAUGCUGAACUCAGCAAAUUACAAAUUAAAAUUUUGGUUUAGCACGUGAAGUCUACUAACUCACGUUACGGUCUCAUUAAUUAAAUUAGAUUUCCUAGUUAAAUACUAAUAAACUGAAAACCCUAAUUUCAUUUUUCUUCUCCUCUGACGGCGUUUUAUCUAUUCUUUCUUAUCUCAUUUUAUCAGAGGUAGUUCCCCCUCUCUAGUAUCUUGCGAUGCCAAAGACACCAAGCAAGUCUUCUUGUGCUUAAAGGUCUCUCUCUGUUUGAUUCGUUUUUGGGUCCUGAAUUGAUCUGAGUUUCACGCUUGGGUUUAGUUAAUUUAAUUCCUAUCGUUGUCUCUCAGAUCUGUCUAGGAACCAUCUGAUGAUUUUAUGUCUUUAAUUUAACGUUUUACCCUCCCACUGACUUCUUGUCUAGGAGUAGUUUUAACGGAGAUAUGUGGUUUCAUGAUGACGUUCCGCAUCAUGCCGAUUGGUGUAAAUUUCUCGCUCUCUGUUUUUGGUGAAGCCCACAGAACCUCUCUUUCUCUUUCUGUAUGAAUCUUUUGGUGGGCUCCUCGUCGGUGAUACACGGGGUGGUCUCUCCUCGGUGGUUCAGACAGAGCGGCAAGGCAGUGUCGGCUAGGUCUCCUCUGUUCUUCAUCUUUGCUUCACAGACCAGUCGUCGGUGCUCCUCAAAUUAAAAGUGUAAAUCAUCAUGUCGCCUCUUCUACUCCUAUGCUCUUCAAUCUUGCUGCUUUUUUUUUGAGCAACAGUCGUCGUCUAUUCAUUAAACUAAUUUGGACGUUUGUUUCAUCUGUUAUAAGUGUCAUUGCCCAACUCUAAAAAGACUACCGUUGGUGCUUAAGGCCCAGAAUAGCCCACUUACACAAAUAUUUCCGUUUUAAAUUUCGUCGAGCAACUUAUUACAUUACUGAAACGCAUCUUUUUUUGUUGAAGGACAUGUGUCGCUCUCAGGAUGCACGAAUUGAUGACGUGGCAUCACAGGAGAGAGGCAAACAUAUUUAUAUAUAUAUAGAUUUUUGUGUUUUUUUCUGUACAAUUAACUUUUCAGUUAAAAUUUUAUGACUGUGGGUUCAUUUGUGAACACAUUUGUAAACCAACAAUCAAAGCCUAUAAAGUUAGAAUUUCCCCUAUAACUUUCAGAUAGUAACUUUUGUUAAAGAAGUUACUAUCUGAAAGUUAUAACUUUCAGAUAGUAACUGAUUAGCUCAUUUUCAAAAAAAAAGAAAAAUUUAUGAUUUUGUUUUUGUUUUGGUUUGUUUUUGC
Molecule: long non-coding RNA, 2505 nt
Filed under: Brassica rapa (field mustard)
Lineage: Eukaryota; Viridiplantae; Streptophyta; Magnoliopsida; Brassicales; Brassicaceae
Description: long non-coding RNA (BRAP_LNC002485)
Source: RNAcentral